AGGAGGAUAGAUAUGGUUUGUGUA
RNAcentral lists this non-coding RNA (24 nucleotides) under Arabidopsis thaliana (thale cress). The record is from RNAcentral. Lineage: Eukaryota; Viridiplantae; Streptophyta; Magnoliopsida; Brassicales; Brassicaceae.